RNAcentral lists this ribosomal RNA (497 nucleotides) under uncultured bacterium. Its description in RNAcentral is "partial 16S ribosomal RNA". It matches the Rfam family "Bacterial small subunit ribosomal RNA", at positions 28 to 507 of the family's 1533-position model. The record is from RNAcentral.
GAUGAACGCUGGCGGCGUGCCUAAUACAUGCAAGUCGAGCGAACAGAUAAGGAGCUUGCUCCUUUGACGUUAGCGGCGGACGGGUGAGUAACACGUGGGUAACCUACCUAUAAGACUGGAAUAACUCCGGGAAACCGGGGCUAAUGCCGGAUAACAUUUAGAACCGCAUGGUUCUAAAGUGAAAGAUGGUUUUACUAUCACUUAUAGAUGGACCCGCGCCGUAUUAGCUAGUUGGUAAGGUAACGGCUUACCAAGGCAACGAUACGUAGCCGACCUGAGAGGGUGAUCGGCCACACUGGAACUGAGACACGGUCCAGACUCCUACGGGAGGCAGCAGUAGGGAAUCUUCCGCAAUGGGCGAAAGCCUGACGGAGCAACGCCGCGUGAGUGAUGAAGGUCUUCGGAUCGUAAAACUCUGUUAUUAGGGAAGAACAAAUGUGUAAGUAACUGUGCACGUCUUGACGGUACCUAAUCAGAAAGCCACGGCUAACUACGUG